UUGCCUUAGUACGGCGAGUGAAGCGGCAAAAGCUCAAAUUUGAAAUCGGCCACCAGGUCGAGUUGUAAUUUGUAGAUUGUAUCUUGAGAGCGGAUUAAAGUCUGUUGGAACACAGCGCCUUAGAGGGUGACAGCCCCGUAAAAUCUAUUCUCAUUGUAAGAUACUUUCGAAGAGUCGAGUUGUUUGGGAAUGCAGCUCUAAGUGGGAGGUAAAUUCCUUCUAAAGCUAAAUAUUGACGAGAGACCGAUAGCGAACAAGUACUGUGAAGGAAAGAUGAAAAGCACUUUGAAAAGAGAGUGAAAAAGUACGUGAAAUUGUUAAAAGGGAAGGGUAUUGAAUCAGACUUGGUGCUGUUGUUCAACUGUGUUUCGGCAUAGUGUACUCAGCAGUACUAGGCCAAGGUGGGGUGUUUGGGAGUGAAAAAGAAGUUGGAACGUAACUUCUUCGGAGUGUUAUAGCCUACUUUCAUAGCUCCUCAGGCGCCUCAGGACUGCGCUUCGGCAAGGACCUU
RNAcentral lists this ribosomal RNA (511 nucleotides) under Geotrichum candidum. RNAcentral's name for it is "eukaryotic LSU rRNA". It matches the Rfam family "Eukaryotic large subunit ribosomal RNA", at positions 75 to 627 of the family's 3401-position model. Lineage: Eukaryota; Fungi; Ascomycota; Dipodascomycetes; Dipodascales; Dipodascaceae. The record is from RNAcentral.